GACACAGGGAUGCGUCCGACCAGACAUGUCCGGAGAACGCCCCACUGCGCACGACAGUCAAUCGUUUUAGCCACGGAUAGAAGARCAGGCAAACAGCCCGACUCUCAUCAUGUGUUCCACAUCCCCAAGCCACGUGUGAUCCCAUUGACCACGCAGGCAGCCCAAAAGCCGCCRGCUGGCUUCACRGGUCACACGGACAGGUUGCCCACGACCGAUUCUGAGAUCAKUCGGAGGGCAAAAGUCGYCGCGUGACAAUGAUUGCCGAUUUUUUCUUUGGUAAGCAACACAGGAAUACCGAAA
This 300-nucleotide unclassified non-coding RNA is filed under the name Delphinium delavayi. RNAcentral's name for it is "partial contains external transcribed spacer and 18S ribosomal RNA". The record is from RNAcentral. Lineage: Eukaryota; Viridiplantae; Streptophyta; Magnoliopsida; Ranunculales; Ranunculaceae.